CAGUCGCCACGGUAAUACGUAGGGUGCAAGCGUUAAUCGGAAUUACUGGGCGUAAAGCGUGCGCAGGCGGUUUGUUAAGACAGAUGUGAAAUCCCCGGGCUCAACCUGGGAACUGCAUUUGUGACUGGCAAGCUAGAGUCUGGCAGAGGGGGGUGGAAUUCCGCGUGUAGCAGUGAAAUGCGUAGAUAUGCGGAGGAACACCGAUGGCGAAGGCAGCCCCCUGGGAUAACACUGACGCUCAUGCACGAAAGCGUGGGGAGCAAACAGGAUUAGAUACCCGAGUAGUCCCUGUCUCUUAUAC
This 301-nucleotide ribosomal RNA is filed under the name uncultured bacterium. RNAcentral describes it as "partial 16S ribosomal RNA". It matches the Rfam family "Bacterial small subunit ribosomal RNA", at positions 509 to 807 of the family's 1533-position model. The record is from RNAcentral.